This 519-nucleotide long non-coding RNA is filed under the name Dermacentor andersoni. RNAcentral's name for it is "uncharacterized LOC126520620". The record is from RNAcentral. Lineage: Eukaryota; Metazoa; Arthropoda; Arachnida; Ixodida; Ixodidae.
CGUGGUCUUGUUACGCCUCGCUGGAUCGUGUUCAGUCAUGCCGUCCUUGCGCGGCGUGAUUGUCGUGCGGCUGGCGUGAGCUGUCUCCACGAUGCGCUUCGAGCGUGUCGAUUUCGCAGUUCUUUAUGUUGGCGUUAACGACCUUGAAAGCAACAUGGAUCCACAAGAAAUGUGCGACAACAUCAAGGCCUUGAUUGUUCAACGAGACGGCCCUCGUCGUGCUGGUUUUCAAGGUGCUCCCUCGCUGCCUAGAAGAUGCUGAUGCGGAAUAGAAAAUGCAAAAACGUCGCUUGCUCAACCGCAAAUUGACGGCUACGCUGAAGCGCAUGCCGUGUCUGCGGAAUUUGAACCCCGAGCUUUCCAGAGUUCCUUGGAAAAUCCUCCCAUGCACCUGCCAUGUACAUUGCCCUCCUCGAUGUGGCGUGCAAGAUGGCAGCAGCAGCUGUGGGAACAGUUGAAGAGGCGAAGAAAGGUCCACUUUAUAAUAGGUUGUAUGUAAAUAAAACUGAUCGACCUCAA